Molecule: small nucleolar RNA, 83 nt
Organism: Monodelphis domestica (gray short-tailed opossum)
Lineage: Eukaryota; Metazoa; Chordata; Mammalia; Didelphimorphia; Didelphidae
Gene: SNORD92
Product: small nucleolar RNA, C/D box 92
Source: Ensembl
GUGCUGUGAUGAUACUAAAUUGUGGUUUCAACUUAACUGAUAGUUGAAUGAGGACAUCUAAUUCCUUGGCUGUGUCUGAGCAU